Molecule: long non-coding RNA, 101 nt
Organism: Thalassophryne amazonica
Lineage: Eukaryota; Metazoa; Chordata; Actinopteri; Batrachoidiformes; Batrachoididae
Exons: 3
Source: RefSeq, a predicted model, not a curated record
CUGUGAUCGUCAAGCUGCGUGGACCAUACCGGAUAUUGUAAUGUUUAGACCAAUUCAUACCAUUAGCAUCCAUGUUACAUCAUUCGCGUAAUGUAUAAAUG